GCCCGCUUGGCUAAGUGGUAUAGCGUGUCACUAGUAGCUACCCCUGAAAACUCAGGGAUCCCUCAUGGCAUGACAAGAUCAGCGGUUCGAUUCCGCUAGUGGGCA
Molecule: non-coding RNA, 105 nt
Organism: Xylariaceae sp. AK1471
Lineage: Eukaryota; Fungi; Ascomycota; Sordariomycetes; Xylariales; Xylariaceae
Source: the annotation of a GenBank genome assembly